GAUGAACGCUGGCGGCGUGCCUAAUACAUGCAAGUCGAGCGAACAGAUAAGGAGCUUGCUCCUUUGACGUUAGCGGCGGACGGGUGAGUAACACGUGGGUAACCUACCUAUAAGACUAGGAUAACUUCGGGAAACCGGAGCUAAUACCGGAUAAUAUUUCGAACCGCAUGGUUCGAUAGUGAAAGAUGGUUUUGCUAUCACUUAUAGAUUGACCCGCGCCGUAUUAGCUAGUUGGUAAGGUAACGGCUUACCAAGGCGACGAUACGUAGCCGACCUGAGAGGGUGAUCGGCCACACUGGAACUGAGACACGGUCCAGACUCCUACGGGAGGCAGCAGUAGGGAAUAUUCCGCAAUGGGCGAAAGCCUGACGGAGCAACGCCGCGUGAGUGAUGAAGGUCUUCGGAUCGUAAAACUCUGUUAUUAGGGAAGAACAUACGUGUAAGUAACUGUGCACGUAUUGACGGUACCUAAUCAGAAAGCCACGGCUAACUACGUG
RNAcentral lists this ribosomal RNA (497 nucleotides) under uncultured bacterium. Its description in RNAcentral is "partial 16S ribosomal RNA". It matches the Rfam family "Bacterial small subunit ribosomal RNA", at positions 28 to 507 of the family's 1533-position model. The record is from RNAcentral.